RNAcentral lists this ribosomal RNA (427 nucleotides) under uncultured bacterium. Its description in RNAcentral is "partial 16S ribosomal RNA". It matches the Rfam family "Bacterial small subunit ribosomal RNA", at positions 355 to 774 of the family's 1533-position model. The record is from RNAcentral.
UAGGGAAUCUUCCGCAAUGGGCGAAAGCCUGACGGAGCAACGCCGCGUGAGUGAUGAAGGUCUUCGGAUCGUAAAACUCUGUUAUCAGGGAAGAACAAAUGUGUAAGUAACUGUGCACAUCUUGACGGUACCUGAUCAGAAAGCCACGGCUAACUACGUGCCAGCAGCCGCGGUAAUACGUAGGUGGCAAGCGUUAUCCGGAAUUAUUGGGCGUAAAGCGCGCGUAGGCGGUUUUUUAAGUCUGAUGUGAAAGCCCACGGCUCAACCGUGGAGGGUCAUUGGAAACUGGAAAACUUGAGUGCAGAAGAGGAAGGUGGAAUUCCAUGUGUAGCGGUGAAAUGCGCAGAGAUAUGGAGGAACACCAGUGGCGAAGGCGACUUUCUGGUCUGUAACUGACGCUGAUGUGCGAAAGCGUGGGGAUCAAACA